UGUCCGUAUAUCCGAUGUGACACGCCAAAACUUUACACCCUUGGAUCUAAACACAGCCUAAAUAAAAGAGGGCAGCUACCCCACGGAAUUCCGUUACUGCACGAUAGUCACGGGAUAAAAUUAGCACCCAACAGAUUUAAUACCGAUUCCUUUUCUGAUCGAGCCCAACGUUGUGCACGCGAUUCCCCUACUCGCCGCCUCCGCGUAGAUACCUCGUCGGCGGGGGCGCGGAGCGCCGCAGCAACUACCAGCCAGAACCCGGCGCAGAGCGCGAGAAGGAUCCUUCCCGCAACCAAAACCCGGCUCGGUAUCGCGCGCCUCUGCACGCGAUACAUCGCCGGCGGCGCCUUCAACUACAACAAGCAGGAGUGCUCCUUCCCCUAAAUCCAGUGCCUCCGCGCGCGAUACCUUGCUGGCAACAGCGCGUGCACCUAGUCGCAGUAGUCCUCAGCAAAAAUCCAUCUCAGGUGCCGACCUCCAUCGCCGGAUUUCCUUUUGCGUACCUCACUCAGGUAUCUAUUCAAGUAGUUUUUAGGGUAUCAGCUUCUCUAGUUUUUAGGUAUCAUUUUUUUUCUCUAGUUAGGUAUCAGCUUAUCUCUAUUUUUCAAGGUAUAAUGGUUUGUGUUCUGCUUGUUAUGUGUGGGGUGAAAAACUAACUAGAAAAAUGUGUGGAUUAUUCAUGCAAUUUUAGUUAAAAAGUUUUUUAUGGCUGAAAGAAAAGAGAAUGAAUUCCUCGGUUGGAUCUGCUGGAAGAAUGAUGGAAGAGGUAGCAAAUGAGGGGAAUGUUGUCCUUAGUGAAAGAAGUAUGAAAGAGCAACAUAGUGACAAGGAUGAUGUUUGUGUUGAAAGAGCAAUGGAACAAGUAUCAAGUCAUGAUGAUGAUGUGUUGAGGGAAGCACUGCUUGAAACUGGGUUGUUUACAGGUGCCAUGAGCAUUGAUCAAAUUGAUGCAGGUGAUGAGUUUGAAAUACAAGAUGAGUUUGGACAUGAAGAUGGAGAAACUGAAGAUGAGGGGGUCCAAUCUCAACCUGCAGUCCCUGAUGUUGGUACGGAGUUCUUUUCAGAAAAAUAGGCUCAAGAUUACUACAAUCGUUAUGCAAAAAACCAAUGUCACCAAGGAGUACAACAUAUAUGAGAUUGCUUGCUACUCCAAGCGCACAAGCUAGAAAAAAAAAGCAAUGUCACCAAGCGCCCAGACCUAUUGAUAUGAGGGGUGUGGAAGAAAUAUAGCACUAAGGGGUGUGGGAGAAAGAUAGCACUGAGGGAAAAAUACAACAUUUCAUUUUUUUUUUACAUUUGCUAAAUGAGACUUGUUCAUGUAAUAAUUCCUCUUUUUGGCUGAUUGGUGAACCAUGUUGCUUGAUACUAAAUUGAAAGCUUCCGAACAGUUGUGAUGUAUGGUCAGAAAAUGUCAAAUGUGGUUGCACUUGCCGAGAAAA
Molecule: long non-coding RNA, 1439 nt
Organism: Oryza sativa Japonica Group (Japanese rice)
Lineage: Eukaryota; Viridiplantae; Streptophyta; Magnoliopsida; Poales; Poaceae
Source: RefSeq, a predicted model, not a curated record